UACCUGACCUGGAGAUGGUGAAGUGGCAGU
Molecule: non-coding RNA, 30 nt
Filed under: Rattus norvegicus (Norway rat)
Lineage: Eukaryota; Metazoa; Chordata; Mammalia; Rodentia; Muridae
Source: RNAcentral